Long non-coding RNA from Pezoporus occidentalis (night parrot), 4812 nucleotides. RefSeq lists it as uncharacterized. NCBI's taxonomy places the organism in Eukaryota, Metazoa, Chordata, Aves, Psittaciformes, Psittacidae. The record is from RefSeq and is a predicted model, not a curated record. The transcript is spliced from 3 exons.
UGAAAAUCAAGAUAUCAACUCAGGGUUUACCAUUUACUUGGUAUAUGUGCCUCUUAUAUUUCCCAGUUUGUUGACACAAUUCUUUGUGAAGUCUUGACUUCAUUCCUGGUUUACACAAUAUUUUAGCUGAGACUUUGGCAAAAGGGAUUUACCUUAUUUUAUUAAUAAGGUAGGUUCUAGGGCUAGUUUUCAAAGCAACAUAUACUGAUGGGAUAAGACAUACUGAUGGGAUGGGUCUAAAUCAUAGGAUUCAACUCAUUCAAUAGCAGCUUAAGCAAGUUAAGUGCGGAUGUUUUGUGCAAUGCCUAUGUAACCCAGGCACAGUCAUGCCAGAUUUCAAGGGCCAGAUGUUUAGGCACCAAAUACUCAAGCACCAGAUAAUGGGAUUUCCAGAAAUUCGUAAAUACUUGCUUUCUCUUGAACUGAGUGGAAAAUUGUGGCACAUGAGAAAUGUUUGCAAACAUUAGAUGGGCUCCCUCAGAAGAUAAAUCAGCAACCUCUCUUAGAUCCUAAUUCCGCUUUGAUUAUAGCGGAAGCCCCAAAAUGCAUCUUAGAUUUACCCUCUGGAGGAAACCUAGGAAGACCAGCCUUGUUAGGCUAAAGUUAGCUUCUGUGAAUACAGUGCUGAAAAAUCUUGCUGCGUACUGAUUGUCAUCUGUAGGAGCUGGAAUGCAUUUAUAGGUCAGGCAUUGUGCCUUAGUCAUCACAAAUUGAUUUUGGUGCAACUAAAUUUAUACCUAAAUAAAAUCAGCCAAAACUACUGUGGCGAAGGGUCAGUUGCUUGGCUGAUAGUAAUUAAAGAGUUCAGAAGAGUCACUAGGACAUUGUCGUGGGAGGUCAGGAGAGGAAUGGAGUGUGAGCAGAGAGACAGCAUGAUCAUUUAGACUUCUGACUGAGGCUGAGUUUAAUACCUGGUUCUGGUAAAGACUGCUUGGAUAAUCAUGAGCAAGACAUAGUGAUACUCAUCCAACCAAAGGGAAACCUCCUGUUCUGAAAUAGUUAGCCUGGCCAGACUGUACACAGUCUUUCCAGAACCUGAUUCAUCUUUUCCUCAUGUAGAAAUAGAAACCUGGUCAAGGUCAAUGGGCUACAUAGAGGACCCAAGGCAGCCAGCUCAGCUACAGACUUUGAUUCCGUCUCAAGGAAGUAACCACCAGGAGAAGCUAUUCACAGAUGACCCACAUCUGCUCUGUGGACUCACCUCCAUUUACAGAAAUCAGCGCGCUGGUUGUUGAUCCUAGAAACGAAAAGUGACCUUCAAACAGUGUGCUUCAGCACUGGGGUCCUGAUCCAAAGUCUGCUGUAGAGAAAAGAGGUUUGAAUGCCCAUUCCCACCAGGGUUUUGAGGACCUCCAGAGGAAAACUGCUCACAACAAAUGCCUGUUAAUUAAAAAGAUUAUCAGCCUAAAAACAAUAACGUUGGUUAGGAUGGAAUUCUUCGCCAUGUCAUUUGAGACAUGAAAUUGUUACUUGAAGCACUGAGUGACGCUCUCAAUAAGGGCCAGCUGGUGGAAAUUACUAAACAUGUUGUAAAUAGACUUUGGAGGCACUGAGGAUCAGGCCUGUGGUUAGAGGAAUCAAAACCCACCCGGGCUGGGGUAAUGACUAAAAGGUGGCCAUGCUGUGACACUCCUGUCCAUCCCUUCUUCCUCCUCAGCUCAUGCGCCUUAGACUACACAUUCCUGAAGGGCUGACACGGGAAAUGGUUGGAUUCUCUUGUGCUGUGGCUGCAGCAGACACUGUCAGCAAGAAAAGAGGGGAGGAGAAUGCCAGAUAAGAAGGGAAGAAAGAGGAAGGAGAAACAGAGGUGUAAAAGGAGUGAAGAGAAGAAUAAAAAAGCCAAGGAAAAGUAUGAGAAGAGAAGGCUGAAGGUACCAUCUGAAAACUGAGCUGAUUUCUCCAAGUGUCUCAGCCGUAGCUAUGAAAAUGAGUCCACCUGAAACACUGAGGAGUUGCUUCAAAUCAGUUGAUCAUCACCAGCUCUUAAAUUAACUUUAUAGCUUUUACAUCAUUAUUCUUGGUCUCUGAGAAACAGCUUUGCAGAUAAAGCAACUGAACUGAAUUGUGCAGCUGUAAAAGAGAAAAGAUUUAAAUUAUAGCCUAAAUAUUCUCCCAGCAAAGAAGAACACAUUCAGAGAGAUUUAGGGCUUAAUCUGACAAAGAAGUGGGUGGGUAGGAGGUGCUUGGUACUUCACAGCUUUAGCACCUCAGUUAUUAAAACUCAUUGAGGAGAUAUACAUCUCUGCUACCUGAAGGCCUGUCAGAUGACAGGGUGUGAACACAUCAUGUGUACCUGCAUGUCUAGACUGUGACAGAGCUGGCAUGCUCGCACUGCUAUCACACUGCCAUCAACAUUAGUACAGGAAUUGUUAAUCACUGCUCACAGAAACCUUAAAAUCAAGGGGAUAAAAAAAAAAAGGGGGGGAUUUGAAGGAUGAACUUGGCUUUUGGCCAAACCAGCAAAGGAAAACGAGACAAUCUUGUUCUGGCAACCAGCUACUUUAAGUAAAUGCUGUCUGCCAUGACCAGUGGUCUCUUGAGGGAACUCUGCUUGAGGCUGAACAAAUCCCUUUCUGGGAAGAAAUCAUCUGUGUCUCGCAUCACACAGGGCAUUGGCCAUCAGCUGACUGAACUGAACAUGUAAACAAAGCUGUGCUGGCAGUCAGGAGUCUUGCUUGUUAUACAGGGGAAAAAAAGCUCUGCAAAAGCUCAUGAUCCAUUUAUGGCACCAUCCAGGUCAGUUUGUCACUGAAAAAUGAAUUAACUAUGGACAAUCAGGCUUUUAGUAACUCCAGCAUCUUCAUUUUUUUGCUUUUGUGGUAGCUGAAGGCAGGCAUUUUACCAUUUUUUUAUGGCAAGAUACUUCCUUGCAGUCACACUUCUCCAAAUUCCUGUGCUGGUGCUGAUGUUUUCCAAACUUAGUACUUGACCACAGCAUAGGAUCACAGCGUGACCACAGCAUGAGGAGCAGCUGAAGGAACUGCGGUUGAGCCUGACUGAAGGGAGGCUGAGGGGACACCUAACCUCUCUCUACAACUAUAAGAAAGGAGGUUGUAGUGAGGUGAAUGUUGGUCUCUUAUCACAAGUACUAGGAUGAGAGGAAAUGUCCUCAGAUUGCACCCGUGGAGGUUUACAUUGGAUAUUAGGAAAAAUUUCAUCACCAGAAAGGUUGUCAAGCACUGGAACAGGCUGCCCUGAAAAGGGGUUGAGUCACCAUCCCUGGAGGUAUUUAAGAGGCGUAGAUGUGGCACUUAAGGACAUGCUUUAGUGGUGGACUUGGUGUUGCUAGGUUAAUGGUUGGACUCAAAAGCCAUUUUUGGCCUGAAUUUCCUCUGUAGGGAAGGGUCAGAUCAGCACGCCAGCUCCCUGCCUUUUCAGGAGUGCCUCUCUGUUGGUCUAUCCCUAUGAAUGCUAAACUCACAACACAGUCCCAGCCAUGUGUGUGACAGUGCCCCGAAACUCCUCAUGAAAGCAGCUUGUGGGGAAGGGAGGGGAACCCAAGAAACCUCUGCAGUGCUUUGACAUCAGCAAUCCUCACAAGAGCUCAGCCUUGAGAUACAGACCCACAGAGGACCCCAGUCCAAUCAUCCAACACAGGUGGAGUGGUCUUCUCUGCCAUGGAAGUUCUUACUAAUCUGUGCAGAUGACCAGCAGCUGAAGACAAGACGUAAUGACAGAUACUGACCCUCUAGACCGCAUCACACAUCUGUUUUUAAAGGUGUGUGAACAAAGUGAGUUUAUUCAGUGUCUCUAGGCACGUUUGUUUGGAGUUUUUUGACUAUGGUGUCAGUGCAAGGAGGAGUGUAGCUAUCCUGGUAGUCCCAGCACACUGCUGCCUUAGCCCAUGGUCUCCUAAAGACCCCUGUAAGCUUCUGUCAUGCUCUGUGUGCACCUCAGCUGACCCACUUUUGGUUUGGAAGCUGCCACUGUUCCUUUACAAAGUCUGGACAUUGGGUUUACUGUACUACUUAUCUCAUGCUGAUUUGAUGAACUGUUAGCUACAUGGUUUAUAUUCAAAAUGAUUCAUCAAGGCCCAGUCCUCAUCCAAUCAAGAGAGCAGAUAAUUGCUGUGAAAGUGCAUGAAUAUGACUGUGUGAGACCCAUAUUUUAUAUCAUAUUAUAAUGAAAUCCAUUCAGGCCUCUCUAUUGCUCAGAGAGGAUUUAGAAGACAGAUUUUGUAUCAUUUGGCUCAAGAGAGAGCAACCAAAUCAUUGCUGAAAAGCUCUGAUUUCUCUAAAGACAUUAAUUGCUAUUCUGGCUAAGAAAAAGUAAUUCAGGAUCAAUGAAACCAGCAAAACCCAACCAGAAAGGUGAUGGUUCAAAGGAAAUACACUUAACAAGAACAUCUGACUGUGUAGUCAUUGGGAGGACAGUGAAGGACACAGUCUCACAGCCAGUCUGCUCCUUUAAAGCUUUUCUAAGAAACAAUAUAAACUGAAUGUACUCAGUUCUGCCUUAUUCCCUGUAUAUGCUGUGUUUCAGUUAUUAUGGGCUGCGGAUGAGAGUUCAGCACAGAAGCUCAGUUAUUUUACUGUCCAGCGAAAUUGCCUUGGCUGCUCAAGAAAUCACCUCAGCACUUCCCUGAAAUAGGAGUCAGAAUAAAUGAAAAUGCUGGCAGCUGAACCUCAGCAUAACUUACUCUUUCAUGUGUUAACAGUGAGACUAUGGGCAGAAUUCUGCUUGGCUUUUUUUUUUUUUGACUGUAUUCCCACUGAUUCACAGCAUUAAUUCAGACAGUAACCUUUUCUUUAGUGGCUAGACCCAGCAGUGAACAUACAGGCAAUGGAGAGGGGGCAAUAAAGAUGAAUGCAU